GACGAAUGCUGGCGGCGUGCUUAACACAUGCAAGUCGAACGGAAAGCGCUCUUCGGAGUGACUCGAGUGGCGAACGGGUGAGUAACACGUGGGUGAUCUGCCCUGCACUUUGGGAUAAGCCUGGGAAACUGGGUCUAAUACCGGAUAGGAUCAUGGCCUUCAUGGGUUGGGGUGGCAAGCCUUUGCGGUGUGGGAUGGGCCCGCGGCCUAUGAGCUUGUUGGUGGGGUAAUGGCCUACCAAGGCGACGACGGGUAGCCGGCCUGAGAGGGUGUCCGGCCACACUGGGACUGAGAUACGGCCCAGACUCCUACGGGAGGCAGCAGUGGGGAAUAUUGCACUAUGGGCGCAAGCCUGAUGCAGCGACGCCGCGUGAGGGAUGACGGCCUUCGGGUUGUAAACCUCUUUCAACUACGACGAAACGGAGGUGACGGUAGUAGUAGAAGGAGGACCGGCCAACUACGUGCCAGCCGCCGCAGUAA
Molecule: ribosomal RNA, 480 nt
Filed under: uncultured bacterium
Lineage: Bacteria
Description: partial 16S ribosomal RNA
Rfam family: Bacterial small subunit ribosomal RNA
Source: RNAcentral